GGAUUAGAUACCCUGGUAGUCCACGCCGUAAACGAUGUGCGCUAGCCGUCGGGCAGCAUGCUGUUCGGUGGCGCAGCUAACGCGUUAAGUUCUCCGCCUGGGGAGUACGCCGGCAACGGUAAAACUCAAAGGAAUUGACGGGGACCCGCACAAGCGGUGGAGCAUGUGGUUUAAUUCGAAGCAACGCGCAGAACCUUACCAGACCUUGACAUGGGGAGUUUGGUCUUUGGAGACGAAGGCCUUCAGUUCGGCUGGCUGCCGCACAGGUGCUGCAUGGCUGUCGUCAGCUCGUGCCG
RNAcentral lists this ribosomal RNA (296 nucleotides) under uncultured bacterium. RNAcentral describes it as "partial 16S ribosomal RNA". It matches the Rfam family "Bacterial small subunit ribosomal RNA", at positions 775 to 1067 of the family's 1533-position model. The record is from RNAcentral.